GCGAUUAUACCAGCACUAAUGCACCGGAUCCCCAUCAGAACUCUGCAGUUAAGCGUGCUUGGGCGAGAGUAGUACUAGGAUGGGUGACCCCCUGGGAAGUCCUCGUGUUGCAACCC
RNAcentral lists this ribosomal RNA (116 nucleotides) under Rhododendron simsii. The record is from RNAcentral. Lineage: Eukaryota; Viridiplantae; Streptophyta; Magnoliopsida; Ericales; Ericaceae.